Molecule: non-coding RNA, 115 nt
Organism: Triticum aestivum (bread wheat)
Lineage: Eukaryota; Viridiplantae; Streptophyta; Magnoliopsida; Poales; Poaceae
Source: Rfam
CACAUACUCCCUCCGUUCGGAAUUAUUUGUCUCGGAAGUGGAUGUAUCUAGAUCUAAUAUACGUCUAGAUACAUCCAUUUCUGCGACAAGUAAUUCCGAACGGAGGGAGUAAUAC